UUAAGCGACUAAGCGUACACGGUGGAUGCCCUGGCAGUCAGAGGCGAUGAAGGACGUGCUAAUCUGCGAUAAGCGUCGGUAAGGUGAUAUGAACCGUUAUAACCGGCGAUUUCCGAAUGGGGAAACCCAGUGUGAUUCGUCACACUAUCAUUAACUGAAUUCAUAGGUUAAUGAGGCGAACCGGGGGAACUGAAACAUCUAAGUACCCCGAGGAAAAGAAAUCAACCGAGAUUCCCCCAGUAGCGGCGAGCGAACGGGGAGGAGCCCAGAGCCUGAAUCAGUGUGUGUGUUAGUGGAAGCGUCUGGAAAGGCGCGCGAUACAGGGUGACAGCCCCGUACACAAAAAUGCACAUGCUGUGAGCUCGAUGAGUAGGGCGGGACACGUGGUAUCCUGUCUGAAUAUGGGGGGACCAUCCUCCAAGGCUAAAUACUCCUGACUGACCGAUAGUGAACCAGUACCGUGAGGGAAAGGCGAAAAGAACCCCGGCGAGGGGAGUGAAAAAGAACCUGAAACCGUGUACGUACAAGCAGUGGGAGCCUCUUAAUGGGGUGACUGCGUACCUUUUGUAUAAUGGGUCAGCGACUUAUAUUCUGUAGCAAGGUUAACCGAAUAGGGGAGCCGAAGGGAAACCGAGUCUUAACUGGGCGUUAAGUUGCAGGGUAUAGACCCGAAACCCGGUGAUCUAGCCAUGGGCAGGUUGAAGGUUGGGUAACACUAACUGGAGGACCGAACCGACUAAUGUUGAAAAAUUAGCGGAUGACUUGUGGCUGGGGGUGAAAGGCCAAUCAAACCGGGAGAUAGCUGGUUCUCCCCGAAAGCUAUUUAGGUAGCGCCUCGUGAAUUCAUCUCCGGGGGUAGAGCACUGUUUCGGCAAGGGGGUCAUCCCGACUUACCAACCCGAUGCAAACUGCGAAUACCGGAGAAUGUUAUCACGGGAGACACACGGCGGGUGCUAACGUCCGUCGUGAAGAGGGAAACAACCCAGACCGCCAGCUAAGGUCCCAAAGUCAUGGUUAAGUGGGAAACGAUGUGGGAAGGCCCAGACAGCCAGGAUGUUGGCUUAGAAGCAGCCAUCAUUUAAAGAAAGCGUAAUAGCUCACUGGUCGAGUCGGCCUGCGCGGAAGAUGUAACGGGGCUAAACCAUGCACCGAAGCUGCGGCAGCGACGCUUAUGCGUUGUUGGGUAGGGGAGCGUUCUGUAAGCCUGCGAAGGUGUACUGUGAGGUAUGCUGGAGGUAUCAGAAGUGCGAAUGCUGACAUAAGUAACGAUAAAGCGGGUGAAAAGCCCGCUCGCCGGAAGACCAAGGGUUCCUGUCCAACGUUAAUCGGGGCAGGGUGAGUCGACCCCUAAGGCGAGGCCGAAAGGCGUAGUCGAUGGGAAACAGGUUAAUAUUCCUGUACUUGGUGUUACUGCGAAGGGGGGACGGAGAAGGCUAUGUUGGCCGGGCGACGGUUGUCCCGGUUUAAGCGUGUAGGCUGGUUUUCCAGGCAAAUCCGGAAAAUCAAGGCUGAGGCGUGAUGACGAGGCACUACGGUGCUGAAGCAACAAAUGCCCUGCUUCCAGGAAAAGCCUCUAAGCAUCAGGUAACAUCAAAUCGUACCCCAAACCGACACAGGUGGUCAGGUAGAGAAUACCAAGGCGCUUGAGAGAACUCGGGUGAAGGAACUAGGCAAAAUGGUGCCGUAACUUCGGGAGAAGGCACGCUGAUAUGUAGGUGAAGUCCCUUGCGGAUGGAGCUGAAAUCAGUCGAAGAUACCAGCUGGCUGCAACUGUUUAUUAAAAACACAGCACUGUGCAAACACGAAAGUGGACGUAUACGGUGUGACGCCUGCCCGGUGCCGGAAGGUUAAUUGAUGGGGUUAGCGCAAGCGAAGCUCUUGAUCGAAGCCCCGGUAAACGGCGGCCGUAACUAUAACGGUCCUAAGGUAGCGAAAUUCCUUGUCGGGUAAGUUCCGACCUGCACGAAUGGCGUAAUGAUGGCCAGGCUGUCUCCACCCGAGACUCAGUGAAAUUGAACUCGCUGUGAAGAUGCAGUGUACCCGCGGCAAGACGGAAAGACCCCGUGAACCUUUACUAUAGCUUGACACUGAACAUUGAGCCUUGAUGUGUAGGAUAGGUGGGAGGCUUUGAAGUGUGGACGCCAGUCUGCAUGGAGCCGACCUUGAAAUACCACCCUUUAAUGUUUGAUGUUCUAACGUUGGCCCCUGAUCGGGGUUGCGGACAGUGUCUGGUGGGUAGUUUGACUGGGGCGGUCUCCUCCUAAAGAGUAACGGAGGAGCACGAAGGUUGGCUAAUCCUGGUCGGACAUCAGGAGGUUAGUGCAAUGGCAUAAGCCAGCUUGACUGCGAGCGUGACGGCGCGAGCAGGUGCGAAAGCAGGUCAUAGUGAUCCGGUGGUUCUGAAUGGAAGGGCCAUCGCUCAACGGAUAAAAGGUACUCCGGGGAUAACAGGCUGAUACCGCCCAAGAGUUCAUAUCGACGGCGGUGUUUGGCACCUCGAUGUCGGCUCAUCACAUCCUGGGGCUGAAGUAGGUCCCAAGGGUAUGGCUGUUCGCCAUUUAAAGUGGUACGCGAGCUGGGUUUAGAACGUCGUGAGACAGUUCGGUCCCUAUCUGCCGUGGGCGCUGGAGAACUGAGGGGGGCUGCUCCUAGUACGAGAGGACCGGAGUGGACGCAUCACUGGUGUUCGGGUUGUCAUGCCAAUGGCACUGCCCGGUAGCUAAAUGCGGAAGAGAUAAGUGCUGAAAGCAUCUAAGCACGAAACUUGCCCCGAGAUGAGUUCUCCCUGACUCCCUGAGAGUCCUGAAGGAACGUUGAAGACGACGACGUUGAUAGGCCGGGUGUGUAAGCGCAGCGAUGCGUUGAGCUAACCGGUACUAAUGAACCGUGAGGCUUAACCUU
Molecule: ribosomal RNA, 2901 nt
Filed under: Escherichia coli KTE204
Lineage: Bacteria; Pseudomonadati; Pseudomonadota; Gammaproteobacteria; Enterobacterales; Enterobacteriaceae
Description: bacterial LSU rRNA
Rfam family: Bacterial large subunit ribosomal RNA
Source: RNAcentral